This 356-nucleotide long non-coding RNA is filed under the name Calidris pygmaea (Spoon-billed sandpiper). Its description in RNAcentral is "lncRNA (ENSCPGG00000005580.1)". The record is from RNAcentral. Lineage: Eukaryota; Metazoa; Chordata; Aves; Charadriiformes; Scolopacidae.
AAGACAGUUUCUAUUAUUUUCCCUCACCGUUAAAUAGACUUCCAAUAAAAUGUUACUCUAUGAUGUUUGAAAUAAGAUGUUCAUUUUUCCUUUACAGAACCAACACGCAACAGUCAGACACCAGGUGGCGCCGCAGACCAGCCAGAAAAGAAAGUGAAACAAGUGCAAGGAAUGUUCAGAAGGUGCAAAGAACAACUGCGAGAUACUCAGUUUCUGAUUUCAGUGCUCACCUGGAAAGAAACUUGACGCCAUAAACUUAUAUGGGCUACUAUUGUCACAGCAGGGGGCAGGAGGAUCUUGACUUCUAAGGUGGAAGCCCAGGACCCAGCUCCAUCAAUCAUGUCUCUACUCCUGGA